This 209-nucleotide long non-coding RNA is filed under the name Mustela putorius furo (domestic ferret). RNAcentral's name for it is "lncRNA (ENSMPUG00000030481.1)". The record is from RNAcentral. Lineage: Eukaryota; Metazoa; Chordata; Mammalia; Carnivora; Mustelidae.
AGACUGCUCAAAUCCUGUAGGAAGAAGACAAAAAAUAAUUCAUAAAUAUAUCUAUAUAAGGAAGAGCCAGAAAGAGAACCACACCAUCAUCCAAACUUGAAAAAGGGCUUCAUGCUGGUUUAUUUUCACGGAAAGCUCCUCAUAAUUUGAAAUCACAGAGGGUCACAAGCAUCUGAGAAGACACAAGCUAAAAUGUCUGGAUUCUAUGA